UUCCCCUAGUAACUGCGAGUGAAGCGGGAAAAGCUCAAAUUUAAAAUCUGGUAGUCNUUGGCUGCCCGAGUUGUAAUCUAGAGAAGCGUUAUCCGCGCUGGACCGUGUAUAAGUCUCCUGGAAUGGAGCGUCAUAGAGGGUGAGAAUCCCGUCUUUAACACGGACUCCCAGGGCUUUGUGAUGCGCUCUCAAAGAGUCGAGUUGUUUGGGAAUGCAGCUCUAAAUGGGUGGUAAAUUCCAUCUAAAGCUAAAUAUUGGCGAGAGACCGAUAGCGAACAAGUACCGUGAGGGAAAGAUGAAAAGAACUUUGGAAAGAGAGUUAAACAGUACGUGAAAUUGUUGAAAGGGAAACGCUUGAAGUCAGUCGCGUUGGUCAGGGAUCAACCUUGCUUUUGCUUGGUGUACUUCCUGGUUAACGGGUCAGCAUCAAUUUUGACCAGUGGAAAAAGGUCAGGGGAAUGUGGCAUCUUCGGAUGUGUUAUAGCCUCUGGUCAUAUACAUUGGUUGGGAUUGAGGAACUCAGCACGCCGCAAGGCCGGGUUUUUACCACGUUCGUGCUUAGGAUGCUGGCAUAAUGGCUUUAAUCGACCCGUCUUGAAACACGGACCAAGGAGUCUAACAUGCCUGCGAGUGUUUGGGUGGAAAACCCAUGCGCGUAAUGAAAGUGAAAGUUGGGAUCCCUGUCGUGGGGAGCACCGACGCCCGGACCAGACCUUCUGUGACGGAUCCGCGGUAGAGCAUGUAUGUUGGGACCCGAAAGAUGGUGAACUAUGCCUGAAUAGGGUGAAGCCAGAGGAAACUCUGGUGG
RNAcentral lists this ribosomal RNA (808 nucleotides) under Entoloma piceinum. Its description in RNAcentral is "partial large subunit ribosomal RNA". It matches the Rfam family "Eukaryotic large subunit ribosomal RNA", at positions 75 to 870 of the family's 3401-position model. Lineage: Eukaryota; Fungi; Basidiomycota; Agaricomycetes; Agaricales; Entolomataceae. The record is from RNAcentral.